This 367-nucleotide ribosomal RNA is filed under the name uncultured Polyporales. RNAcentral's name for it is "eukaryotic LSU rRNA". The stretch from base 1 to 82 matches the Rfam family "5.8S ribosomal RNA", at positions 73 to 154 of the family's 154-position model. Lineage: Eukaryota; Fungi; Basidiomycota; Agaricomycetes; Polyporales. The record is from RNAcentral.
CGUACUCAGAGUGAAUCAUCGAAUCUUUGAACGCACCUUGCACUUUAAGAGUCAAUCUUAAAGUAUACCUGUUUGAGUAUCAUAAACAUUUAUCCAAUUUAUUUGGGAUUUGAUGGAUCAAUUAGUACGCUGAUUGUCUGUUUAAAUGUAGUAGGGAAUCAGAGAUAAGCGCGCUUAUUUCUUGAAUGGGGAUAUUUACUCUUGUAGUAAAGUAAUCAGGAAAGAAUGGGAGGCGGAUCGUUGAGACUCUUGAACCUUUCUUCUUCUUCUUCUUGUAAAAGAGAGAGAGAGAGAAAGAAUUUGUACAAAUGUGAUCUCAAAUCAGGCAAGACUACCCGCCGAACUUAGGCAUAUCAAUAAGCGGAGG